UACGUAGGGGGCAAGCGUUAUCCGGAAUCACUGGGCGUAAAGGGUGCGUAGGUGGCUCAUCAAGCCAGAGGUGAAAGGCAUUGGCUCAACCAAUGUAAGCCUUUGGAACUGACGAGCUUGAGUGCAGGAGAGGUAAGUGGAAUUCCUAGUGUAGAGGUGAAAUUCGUAGAUAUUAGGAGGAACACCAGUGGCGAAGGCGACUUACUGGACUGUAACUGACACUGAGGCACGAAAGCGUGGGGAGCGAACAGG
Molecule: ribosomal RNA, 252 nt
Filed under: uncultured bacterium
Lineage: Bacteria
Also listed under: 1 other name
Description: partial 16S ribosomal RNA
Rfam family: Bacterial small subunit ribosomal RNA
Source: RNAcentral